AGUGAACGCUGGCGGUAGGCCUAACACAUGCAAGUCGAACGGCAGCACAGGAGAGCUUGCUCUCUGGGUGGCGAGUGGCGGACGGGUGAGGAAUACAUCGGAAUCGACUUUUGCGUGGGGGAUAACGUAGGGAAACUUACGCUAAUACCGCAUACGACCUACGGGUGAAAGCAGGGGAACUUCGGGCCUUGCGCGAUUGAAUGAGCCGAUGUCGGUUUAGCUAGUUGGCGGGGUAAAGGCCCACCAAGGCGACGAUCCGUAGCUGGUCUGAGGGGAUGAUCAGCCACACUGGAACUGAGACACGGUCCAGACUCCUACGGGAGGCAGCAGUGGGGAAUAUUGGACAAUGGGCGCAAGCCUGAUCCAGCCAUACCGCGUGGGUGAAGAAGGCCUUCGGGUUGUAAAGCCCUUUUGUUGGGAAAGAAAUCCAGCUGGCUAAUACCCGGUUGGGAUGACGGUACCCAAAGAAUAAGCACCGGCUAACUUCGUGCCAGCCGCCGCAGUAA
Molecule: ribosomal RNA, 506 nt
Filed under: uncultured bacterium
Lineage: Bacteria
Description: partial 16S ribosomal RNA
Rfam family: Bacterial small subunit ribosomal RNA
Source: RNAcentral